UAUUAUUCCCCUCGGUAGUAAUAACAAACCAAUAUGUAAUGGCGGUCUUUAUAAACUAGAGAAACUCGCUUUCUAAUCGUAAAUACCCGCUAAUUUUAACUUAGUUAAUCAGCCUAUAUACCGCCGUUUAUUAAAUAGAGCUUAACUUAAAAUAAAACUCAUAAUCUCCCAACACACAAAAAAUCAGGUCAAGGUGUAGCCAAUAACCAAGAAAAAGUAAGUUAUAUUAAAAACAAUUUAAGGAUUCAACAUAAAAAUGAAGAUAAAAAAGAAUUUAAACGUACGCACUAAUUAAAAACUAAUUCCGAAUAUCAUAUUAAAGAUGC
Molecule: ribosomal RNA, 326 nt
Filed under: Pholcus chappuisi
Lineage: Eukaryota; Metazoa; Arthropoda; Arachnida; Araneae; Pholcidae
Description: partial 12S ribosomal RNA
Source: RNAcentral